UACAGAGGUCCCAAGCGUUGUUCGGAUUUACUGGGCGUAAAGGGUGCGUAGGCGGUUGGGUAAGUCUGAUGUGAAAUCUCACAGCUUAACUGUGAAACUGCAUUGGAUACUAUCCGGCUAGAGGAAUGGAGGGGAGACUGGAAUACUUGGUGUAGCAGUGAAAUGCGUAGAUAUCAAGUGGAACACCAGUGGCGAAGGCGAGUCUCUGGACAUUUCCUGACGCUGAGGCACGUAAGCCAGGGGAGCAAACAGG
This 253-nucleotide ribosomal RNA is filed under the name uncultured bacterium. RNAcentral describes it as "partial 16S ribosomal RNA". It matches the Rfam family "Bacterial small subunit ribosomal RNA", at positions 524 to 776 of the family's 1533-position model. The record is from RNAcentral.